UCCCUACUGAGUUCUGCAAGGGCAACAUUGAAGCUGAGGGGGAGGGAGUGGCAGGCAUCUCAGACGCAGCUGUGCUGAUGUCUCUGACGAGAAGUACGCCGAUGUUCUCUGGUGGCUAAAAGAUAAAGCACCUCUUGAAGGACGACU
Long non-coding RNA from Rhineura floridana, 147 nucleotides. RefSeq lists it as uncharacterized. The record is from RefSeq and is a predicted model, not a curated record. NCBI's taxonomy places the organism in Eukaryota, Metazoa, Chordata, Lepidosauria, Squamata, Rhineuridae. The transcript has 3 exons.